UCUAGAACUUGAUAUAUGGGCUGAACACUGAAUAAUGUCUGGGCUGCAGGACAGAUUCUAACUUCUCUGUUGUUGCUACAAUUUGAACUUGAAAAUGCUCCUUUUGAAUCUUGGAAUCUUCAUGAAAGUUUUAGGCCUAUGUCUUAGCUUUUCAUA
This is a non-coding RNA of Populus trichocarpa (black cottonwood), 156 nucleotides long. The record is from Rfam. Lineage: Eukaryota; Viridiplantae; Streptophyta; Magnoliopsida; Malpighiales; Salicaceae.